CAGUCGAGCGAAACGAGGAGCUUGCUCCUCUGACGUUAGCGGCGGACGGGUGAGUAACACGUGGAUAACCUACCUAUAAGACUGGGAUAACUUCGGGAAACCGGAGCUAAUACCGGAUAAUAUAUUGAACCGCAUGGUUCAAUAGUGAAAGACGGUUUUGCUGUCACUUAUAGAUGGAUCCGCGCCGCAUUAGCUAGUUGGUAAGGUAACGGCUUACCAAGGCAACGAUGCGUAGCCGACCUGAGAGGGUGAUCGGCCACACUGGAACUGAGACACGGUCCAGACUCCUACGGGAGGCAGCAGUAGGGAAUCUUCCGCAAUGGGCGAAAGCCUGACGGAGCAACGCCGCGUGAGUGAUGAAGGUCUUCGGAUCGUAAAACUCUGUUAUUAGGGAAGAACAAAUGUGUAAGUAACUAUGCACGUCUUGACGGUACCUAAUCAGAAAGCCACGGCUAACUACGUGCCAGCAGCCGCGGUAAUACGUAGGUGGCAAGCGUUAUCCGGAAUUAUUGGGCGUAAAGCGCGCGUAGGCGGUUUUUUAAGUCUGAUGUGAAAGCCCACGGCUCAACCGUGGAGGGUCAUUGGAAACUGGAAAACUUGAGUGCAGAAGAGGAAAGUGGAAUUCCAUGUGUAGCGGUGAAAUGCGCAGAGAUAUGGAGGAACACCAGUGGCGAAGGCGACUUUCUGGUCUGUAACUGACGCUGAUGUGCGAAAGCGUGGGGAUCAAACAGGAUUAGAUACCCUGGUAGUCCACGCCGUAAACGAUGAGUGCUAAGUGUUAGGGGGGUUUCCGCCCCUUAGUGCUGCAGCUAACGCAUUAAGCACUCCGCCUGGGGAGUACGACCGCAAGGUUGAAACUCAAAGGAAUUGACGGGGACCCGCACAAGCGGUGGAACAUNNNGGUUUAAUUCGAAGCAACGCGAAGAACCUUACCAAAUCUUGACAUCCUCUGACCCUCUAGAGAUAGAGUUUUCCCCUUCGGGGGACAGAGUGACAGGUGGUGCAUGGUUGUCGUCAGCUCGUGUCGUGNNNAUUUUGGGUUAAGUCCCGCAACGAGCGCAACCCUUAAGCUUAGUUGCCAUCAUUAAGUUGG
RNAcentral lists this ribosomal RNA (1093 nucleotides) under Staphylococcus sp. LS20e. RNAcentral's name for it is "bacterial SSU rRNA". It matches the Rfam family "Bacterial small subunit ribosomal RNA", at positions 59 to 1134 of the family's 1533-position model. The record is from RNAcentral. Lineage: Bacteria; Bacillati; Bacillota; Bacilli; Caryophanales; Staphylococcaceae.